GUGAGGAAUAUUGGUCAAUGGGCGCAAGCCUGAACCAGCCAUCCCGCGUGAAGGACGACGGCCCUAUGGGUUGUAAACUUCUUUUGUACGGGAAGCACGUGCGCUAUGUAUAGCGUAUUGACGGUACCGUACGAAUAAGCAUCGGCUAACUCCGUGCCAGCAGCCGCGGUAAUACGGAGGAUGCGAGCGUUAUCCGGAUUCAUUGGGUUUAAAGGGUGCGUAGGCGGCCCGGUAAGUCAGCGGUGAAAGUUUGCGGCUCAACCGUAAAAUUGCCGUUGAUACUGUCGGGCUUGAGUUCAGAUGAAGUGGGCGGAAUGAGUAGUGUAGCGGUGAAAUGCUUAGAUAUUACUCAGAACACCGAUUGCGAAGGCAGCCCACUAAACUGCGACUGACGCUGAUGCACGAAAGCGUGGGGAUCGAACAGGAUUAGAUACCCGUGUAGUCC
RNAcentral lists this ribosomal RNA (445 nucleotides) under uncultured bacterium. RNAcentral describes it as "partial 16S ribosomal RNA". It matches the Rfam family "Bacterial small subunit ribosomal RNA", at positions 354 to 796 of the family's 1533-position model. The record is from RNAcentral.